AACGAACGCUGGCGGCAUGCCUAACACAUGCAAGUCGAACGAGACCUUCGGGUCUAGUGGCGCACGGGUGCGUAACGCGUGGGAACCUGCCCUUAGGUUCGGAAUAACUCCCCGAAAGGGGUGCUAAUACCGGAUAAUGUCUUCGGACCAAAGAUUUAUCGCCUUUGGAUGGGCCCGCGUUGGAUUAGCUAGUUGGUAGGGUAAAAGCCUACCAAGGCGACGAUCCAUGGCUGGUCUGAGAGGAUGAUCAGCCACACUGGGACUGAGACACGGCCCAGACUCCUACGGGAGGCAGCAGUGGGGAAUAUUGGACAAUGGGCGAAAGCCUGAUCCAGCAAUGCCGCGUGAGUGAUGAAGGCCUUAGGGUUGUAAAGCUCUUUUACCCGGGAUGAUAAUGACAGUACAGGGAGAAUAAGCUCCGGCUAACUCCGUG
RNAcentral lists this ribosomal RNA (433 nucleotides) under uncultured bacterium. RNAcentral's name for it is "partial 16S ribosomal RNA". It matches the Rfam family "Bacterial small subunit ribosomal RNA", at positions 29 to 507 of the family's 1533-position model. The record is from RNAcentral.